AGAGUUUGAUCAUGGCUCAGGAUGAACGCUGGCGGCGUGCCUAACACAUGCAAGUCGAGCGAUUCUCUUCGGAGAAGAGCGGCGGACGGGUGAGUAACGCGUGGGUAACCUGCCCUGUACACACGGAUAACAUACCGAAAGGUAUGCUAAUACGAGAUAAUAUGCUUUUAUCGCAUGGUAGAAGUAUCAAAGCUCCGGCGGUACAGGAUGGACCCGCGUCUGAUUAGCUAGUUGGUAGGGUAACGGCUUACCAAGGCGACGAUCAGUAGCCGACCUGAGAGGGUGAUCGGCCACAUUGGAACUGAGACACGGUCCAAACUCCUACGGGAGGCAGCAGUGGGGAAUAUUGCACAAUGGGCGAAAGCCUGAUGCAGCAACGCCGCGUGAGCGAUGAAGGCCUUCGGGUCGUAAAGCUCUGUCCUCAAGGAAGAUAAUGACGGUACUUGAGGAGGAAGCCCCGGCUAACUACGUGCCAGCAGCCGCGGUAAUACGUAGGGGGCUAGCGUUAUCCGGAAUUACUGGGCGUAAAGGGUGCGUAGGUGGUUUCUUAAGUCAGAGGUGAAAGGCUACGGCUCAACCGUAGUAAGCCUUUGAAACUGGGAAACUUGAGUGCAGGAGAGGAGAGUGGAAUUCCUAGUGUAGCGGUGAAAUGCGUAGAUAUUAGGAGGAACACCAGUUGCGAAGGCGGCUCUCUGGACUGUAACUGACACUGAGGCACGAAAGCGUGGGGAGCAAACAGGAUUAGAUACCCUGGUAGUCCACGCCGUAAACGAUGAGUACUAGCUGUCGGAGGUUACCCCUUUCGGUGGCGCAGCU
RNAcentral lists this ribosomal RNA (816 nucleotides) under uncultured bacterium. RNAcentral describes it as "bacterial SSU rRNA". It matches the Rfam family "Bacterial small subunit ribosomal RNA", at positions 8 to 853 of the family's 1533-position model. The record is from RNAcentral.